GCUGGACAAGGUGACGUGUGCCUGUAGUCCCAGCUACUCGGGAGGCUGAGGUGGGAGGAUUGCUUGAGCCCAGGAGUUCUGGGCUGUAGUGUGCUAUGCACUAAGUUCGGCAUCAAUAUGGUGACCUCCUGGGACCACCAGGUUGCCUAAGGAGGGGUGAACUGGUCCAGGUCAGAAAGAGAGCAGGUCAAAACUCCCGUGCUGAUCAGUAGUGGGAUCGUGCCUGUGAAUAGCCACUGCACUUCCAGCCUGGGCAACAUAGCGACACCCCUGUCUCUU
Callithrix jacchus (white-tufted-ear marmoset) is the source of this 279-nucleotide unclassified non-coding RNA. It matches the Rfam family "Metazoan signal recognition particle RNA". From Rfam's summary of the family: The signal recognition particle (SRP) is a universally conserved ribonucleoprotein. It is involved in the co-translational targeting of proteins to membranes. NCBI's taxonomy places the organism in Eukaryota, Metazoa, Chordata, Mammalia, Primates, Cebidae. The record is from Ensembl.